This 254-nucleotide ribosomal RNA is filed under the name uncultured bacterium. RNAcentral's name for it is "partial 16S ribosomal RNA". It matches the Rfam family "Bacterial small subunit ribosomal RNA", at positions 524 to 777 of the family's 1533-position model. The record is from RNAcentral.
UACGUAGGGUGCAAGCGUUGUCCGGAAUUAUUGGGCGUAAAGAGCUCGUAGGCGGUCUGUCGCGUCUGCUGUGAAAACUCGGGGCUCAACCCCGAGCCUGCAGUCGAUACGGGCAGACUAGAGUGCUGUAGGGGAGACUGGAAUUCCUGGUGGAGCGGUGAAAUGCGCAGAUAUCAGGGAGGAACACCGGUGGCGAAGGCGGGUCUCUGGGCAGUAACUGACGCUGAGGAGCGAAAGCGUGGGAGCGAACAGGA